ACUAACAAGGAUUCCCCUAGUAACUGCGAGUGAAGAGGGAAAAGCUCAAAUUUAAAAUCUGGCAGUCUUUGGCUGUCCGAGUUGUAAUCUAGAGAAGUAUUAUCCGCGCUGGACCGUGUACAAGUCUCCUGGAAUGGAGCGUCAUAGAGGGUGAGAAUCCCGUCUUUGACACGGACUGCCAGGGCUUUGUGAUGUGCUCUCGAAGAGUCGAGUUGUUUGGGAAUGCAGCUCAAAAUGGGUGGUAAAUUCCAUCUAAAGCUAAAUAUUGGCGAGAGACCGAUAGCGAACAAGUACCGUGAGGGAAAGAUGAAAAGAACUUUGGAAAGAGAGUUAAACAGUACGUGAAAUUGCUGAAAGGGAAACGCUUGAAGUCAGUCGCGUUGGCCAGGGAUCAACCUUGCUUUUUUGCUUGGCUUACUUUCUGGUUGAUGGGUCAGCAUCAAUUUUGACUGGUGGAAAAAGUUCAAGGGAAUGUGGCAUCUUCGGAUGUGUUAUAGCCUUUGUUCACAUAUAUCAGUUGGGAUUGAGGAACUCAGCACGCCGCAAGGCCGGGUUUUUAACCACGUACGUGCUUAGGAUGCUGGCAUAAUGGCUUUAAUCGACCCGUCUUGAAACACGGACCAAGGAGUCUAACAUGCCUGCGAGUGUUUGGGUGAAAAACCCGAGCGCGUAAUGAAAGUGAAAGUUGAGAUCCCUGUCAUGGGGAGCAUUGACGCCCGGAUCUGACCUUUUGUGACGAUUCUGCGGUAGAGCAUGUAUGUUGGGACCCGAAAGAUGGUGAACUAUGCCUGAAUAGGGUGAAGCCAGAGGAAACUCUGGUGGAGGCUCGUAGCGAUUCUGACGUGCAAAUCGAUCGUCAAAUUUGGGUAUAGGGGCGAAAGACUAAUCGAACCAU
RNAcentral lists this ribosomal RNA (895 nucleotides) under Laccaria sp. 'macrocystidia'. Its description in RNAcentral is "eukaryotic LSU rRNA". It matches the Rfam family "Eukaryotic large subunit ribosomal RNA", at positions 64 to 943 of the family's 3401-position model. Lineage: Eukaryota; Fungi; Basidiomycota; Agaricomycetes; Agaricales; Hydnangiaceae. The record is from RNAcentral.